AGAGUUUGAUCCUCGGGACUCCAGACGAACGCUGGCGGCAUGCCUAACACAUGCAAGUCGAACGAGACCUUCGGGGUCUAGUGGCGCACGGGUGCGUAACGCGUGGGAAUCUGCCCUUGGGUUCGGAAUAACAGUUAGAAAUGACUGCUAAUACCGGAUGAUGUCUUCGGACCAAAGAUUUAUCGCCCAGGGAUGAGCCCGCGUAGGAUUAGCUAGUUGGUGGGGUAAAGGCCUACCAAGGCGACGAUCCUUAGCUGGUCUGAGAGGAUGAUCAGCCACACUGGGACUGAGACACGGCCCAGACUCCUACGGGAGGCAGCAGUGGGGAAUAUUGGACAAUGGGCGAAAGCCUGAUCCAGCAAUGCCGCGUGAGUGAUGAAGGCCUUAGGGUUGUAAAGCUCUUUUACCCGGGAUGAUAAUGACAGUACCGGGAGAAUAAGCCCCGGCUAACUCCGUG
RNAcentral lists this ribosomal RNA (457 nucleotides) under uncultured bacterium. RNAcentral's name for it is "bacterial SSU rRNA". It matches the Rfam family "Bacterial small subunit ribosomal RNA", at positions 8 to 507 of the family's 1533-position model. The record is from RNAcentral.